RNAcentral lists this ribosomal RNA (701 nucleotides) under uncultured bacterium. RNAcentral describes it as "bacterial SSU rRNA". It matches the Rfam family "Bacterial small subunit ribosomal RNA", at positions 140 to 828 of the family's 1533-position model. The record is from RNAcentral.
GGGAUAACACCUGGAAACAGAUGCUAAUACCGGAUAACAACACUAGACGCAUGUCUAGAGUUUGAAAGAUGGUUCUGCCAUCACUCUUGGAUGGACCUGCGGUGCAUUAGCUAGUUGGUAAGGUAACGGCUUACCAAGGCAAUGAUGCAUAGCCGAGUUGAGAGACUGAUCGGCCACAUUGGGACUGAGACACGGCCCAAACUCCUACGGGAGGCAGCAGUAGGGAAUCUUCCACAAUGGACGAAAGUCUGAUGGAGCAACGCCGCGUGAGUGAAGAAGGGUUUCGGCUCGUAAAGCUCUGUUGGUAGUGAAGAAAGAUAGAGGUAGUAACUGGCCUUUAUUUGACGGUAAUUACUUAGAAAGUCACGGCUAACUACGUGCCAGCAGCCGCGGUAAUACGUAGGUGGCAAGCGUUGUCCGGAUUUAUUGGGCGUAAAGCGAGUGCAGGCGGUUCAAUAAGUCUGAUGUGAAAGCCUUCGGCUCAACCGGAGAAUUGCAUCAGAAACUGUUGAACUUGAGUGCAGAAGAGGAGAGUGGAACUCCAUGUGUAGCGGUGGAAUGCGUAGAUAUAUGGAAGAACACCAGUGGCGAAGGCGGCUCUCUGGUCUGCAACUGACGCUGAGGCUCGAAAGCAUGGGUAGCGAACAGGAUUAGAUACCCUGGUAGUCCAUGCCGUAAACGAUGAGUGCUAAGUGUUGGGA